This 428-nucleotide ribosomal RNA is filed under the name uncultured bacterium. RNAcentral's name for it is "bacterial SSU rRNA". It matches the Rfam family "Bacterial small subunit ribosomal RNA", at positions 28 to 446 of the family's 1533-position model. The record is from RNAcentral.
GAUGAACGCUAGCUACAGGCUUAACACAUGCAAGUCGAGGGGCAGCGGGAUUGUAGCAAUACAAUUGCCGGCGACCGGCGCACGGGUGAGUAACACGUAUCCAACCUUCCGGUUACUCGGGGAUAGCCUUUCGAAAGAAAGAUUAAUACCCGAUAGUAUAAAUUUUCCGCAUGGUUUGUUUAUUAAAGAUUCAUCGGUAACCGAUGGGGAUGCGUUCCAUUAGAUAGUAGGCGGGGUAACGGCCCACCUAGUCGACGAUGGAUAGGGGGUUCUGAGAGGAAGGUCCCCCCACAUUGGAACUGAGACACGGUCCAAACUCCUACGGGAGGCAGCAGUGGGGAAUAUUGCACAAUGGGGGAAACCCUGAUGCAGCGACGCCGCGUGAAGGAAGAAGUAUCUCGGGUAUGUAAACUUCUAUCAGCAGGGAA